Molecule: long non-coding RNA, 2037 nt
Organism: Coturnix japonica (Japanese quail)
Lineage: Eukaryota; Metazoa; Chordata; Aves; Galliformes; Phasianidae
Source: Ensembl
CCUGCUCUCCUAUUCCUUUUGCUUCUUCUUCCACCACUAAUCCAUCUGACAGAGUGUGGAAGCUCCAGUAGAGACUGCAACCCCACUGCAUCCCCACUGGCACCCAUUCAGGUGCACAGCAGUGGCUCUGACAGCACAUGGACAAGUGCCACUAGCCAGGAUACCAGCUGGGAUGUCACUGGGAUGGCUCAUGAUGGCAUACUUUCCUUGAUCCUGCUCCCACGUUAGUUGUUUCUCAGAAUAUUUCACUACACCAAGGUCACACUUCUGUCUGCUUGGCUCACAUGGUGCAGAGACAGGUAUUUAUGAGUGGGGUUGGAGUUACCCAUACCACUGUAAUUUGGGAAUCAUUACAUGAAUGCUUCUGCUGCUCGCUUAGCUUUGCAACGGGGUGUUGGCAGAGAAGCUGAGGCUUUCCCAGAUUCAUUUCAAGCCAGGCAGACGUGUGCUAGCUGAGGCAUUCACCUCAGCCCAUCCAGAUCAGUUCCAAGCCUGUAGCACAUAGGACAUCAAUGCAGGAGAUGUGGGCACAAGGCCAUGGGUGCUGUUGGCAGAUGGGACCCCACAGCACACAUCUCAAAGGAGAAUUGCUGCCCUGGCACCCUGGUUAAGCUCUAUUUGAAUAACGAGGCACAUAGUUCCCAUAAACCCCCAUUACUGUGGCUCUAAGGGAUGAUUUUAAUACACAGGGAACCAAAAGGUUUGCCAGCAAGUGGGAGCAUAGCUGAGCACUGACAUCCUACAACCUGUGUCCCUCAGAGGGAGUGGACUUCAAACCCAGCAAAGCUCUUCCUUCAGCUCCAGCAGGACUUAGGAGACUGAUGGAGGACAUGGAGACUGCAGAUCUUGUUGGGACCAGGAAACGAUGCAUUGGGAGAGAUGAAGGACGGUCAAACCCUCUUUGCCCACCAAACUUUCGGUGUCCGUCCCAAACUCCCGUCGCUGGGAAGGAGCUGGUAAUGCUGAAGUUUGCUGAUGCUGGAAGCCAACUAGAGGGGGGGGGGGGGAACGAAACAAAAAACGGGAGUUUGCCUUAGUUACUAUUUUAAGCGAUUCCGUCUAAUUUUGAUUAAAGUGAACGUUGUAACAGUUCAAUACAACCUCGUCUCAUCUCUUUAAUAGCUUUCAGAGCGUCUGCGGGAGAAAGAGACCUGAAGGAAGUUAAAUGAUGUCAAGAUUAUUUUUCAUUACUGCAGUUUUGUUACAGUUAGAAAAGCAACAAAUACUGUUAAUCUGGUUCAGUGAGGGGGCAAAGCCUUUAAGUACAGAUGCUUUUUUCUUUACUCAUUAACUUCAUUUGUGAAAAACUCUUGUGAUAUAAUUGCGUGUUUAUAUUUCCUUAGCUCGUUUUCCUUUCUUUUAUUUUCUUUUAUAUAUAUAUAUAUAUUUGCCCCCAUCGAAACUAAAAGUCAGUGCUGCUGAAAAGCGCUGAUUACCCUGACACGUUUCUUCUCCCCCAGUGGAAACGAGGAUGUGUUGAAGCAGAGCAAAUAGGAAAUUCUGACGAGAGAUCUAUUGUUUUUAAGAAAGAGCUGAACAAUAUAUGCCUUGUAAGGCUCUGCUUGUGUGUAUGAGUUAAUUAGAGGCUGUAUAAAUAGCCCCACACAGGUACGUAAGUAGUUUCCGCAAGUUUCCAAAGCUUUGCUAUAGGCUGCACUACGAACAAAAGAAAAUUGGGCUUUUGGGGAGAGAUCUGAGCGUAUAAAAUGUUUUCGCUUUUCUCACCACCGACCCUUCAGCCCUUCCUGCCUCCUCUUCCGUCCCCUCACCGAAGAAACCAAUGAGGCUGAGAUAAGUGUUGCCUCUGCGACUUGGAGGUUUGGGGCUCUUCCCCUCUUCCUUCACAACAGCUUUCUGCCCCAAUACCGGGGGUGUGGGACAGAACGCAUCCUGCCUGCUGCCUACCCAGGCUGAGGGGGGAAGGAGGGGCAGUUGUGGGAAAGAAGAAGGAUUUGGGGGUUGAAAACGGGAAACAGUGCGGCUGGGACGUCUCAUUUGUUGGGAUUUUUUUUCCUCUCCAAACCAACCCCCCCCCUC